UCUGGUGUUCCCACGCUCUGUCCUCUCUCUUCCACCUUGCCGCAUAACUCGGCUCCAUGGCCUUCUCCUUUCAAGCUGCUGCACUGCUACUCCUUCCCGCAUCUGACGGUGCCGAGCUGAUGGGCAAGCUACAGCCAGCUGCUACCGGAGCUUCAACCACUGGUGGCGGAGCUGCAACUCGCGGGGGCCGUCGGUGCUGGAGCCAGAUGGUGGCGAGCUUGAACGGGCGCCCCGUUUUGCUGCAACCGGACAUCCUAGAGCUGGAACCGUUGCCCUCCGCUGCCUCAACCGGAGAAAGUCUUCACGUCGUGGAGACGGACGAGUGGGCUGUGAGAUUUUUGCUGGAACCACUACUGAGAUUUGCUGGAACCGCCAAAUCAUUUUGCUUCAACCAAGUACUCGAGGUUUUUGUGGUGGCAGUCAUGGCGAGCGGAGGCAGCCGAGGCGAGCGCGGUGGCAUGUGUGGCCGGCGAUGACAGCGCUACCAUGGCUGCAACGGCGACGACGGAAAAGCUGCUACUAGCGACUUGUUUUUUGCUGCGAGUAGGAAAUCUCUACCAGCGGGGAUGGAGAGCUGAUGUGAACGGGACUGCCGGAGGGUUGCGACGGCGGAGAUGGUGGCCGGCGAUGCUGGAAGACGGAGACACUUGCAGCCGGCGCAAUAGUUGAUGCGUGCGGGCUGCAUCUGGUCCGCGAUCCUCUUUUGUCGGGGGUACCUGAACUUCUGAAGACCAGCGUGUGGACGAUGACAGCGUUAACUGCUGACGAGGAUGAGGACAGACAACGCGCGCCUGAUAGCUGGCCCCUUCCUGCAUGAUUCGACAUGCACACAUUUGGUCUACAUCACAAGUUAAGUUAAGGGUUAGGGUUUGUCUAGGCCUCAUCCAGGAACGAUCGCUUACAAUCAUCCUGAUAAUGGUCAGGCCCAGGUCCUUCUGUUUUUCUUUCUCUUCUAUAGAGAUUAUUUUUCUGGGUUUCUGAGUUUUUAAAAACAAUUCUGUUUUCUGUACUAGAAUUUGUUUUUCUAAAAUAUUGUGCACAAAUUUCAAACACACCGAACAUUUUUUUAA
Molecule: long non-coding RNA, 1070 nt
Organism: Triticum dicoccoides
Lineage: Eukaryota; Viridiplantae; Streptophyta; Magnoliopsida; Poales; Poaceae
Exons: 3
Source: RefSeq, a predicted model, not a curated record